This 534-nucleotide ribosomal RNA is filed under the name uncultured bacterium. RNAcentral describes it as "bacterial SSU rRNA". It matches the Rfam family "Bacterial small subunit ribosomal RNA", at positions 777 to 1304 of the family's 1533-position model. The record is from RNAcentral.
AAUAGAUACCCGGGUAGUCCUAGCUGUAAACGAUGAGCACUGGGUUGAGGGGACUUCCACAUCCUCUCGGCCGUAGCGAAAGCGUUAAGUGCUCCGCCUGGGGAGUAUGGCCGCAAGGCUGAAACUCAAAGGAAUUGACGGGGGGCUCACACAAGCGGUGGAGGAUGUGGCUUAAUUCGAGGCUACGCGAAGAACCUUAUCCUAGAUUUGACAUGGUUGAGAAUCUCCUUGAAAGAGGAGAGUGCCCUUCGGGGAGCUCUUUCACAGGUGCUGCAUGGCUGUCGUCAGCUCGUGUCGUGAGAUGUUGGGUUAAGUCCCUUAACGAGCGAAACCCUUAUCUUUAGUUGCCAGCGGGUCAAGCCGGGGACUCUAAAGAGACUGCCGGUGUCAAACCGGAGGAAGGUGGGGAUGACGUCAAGUCCUCAUGGCCUUUAUGUCUAGGGCUGCACACGUCCUACAAUGGCACGUACAAAGGGAAGCCAAGCCGCGAGGCCGCGCUAAUCCCAAAAAGCGUGCCCCAGUUCGGAUUGCAGG